Molecule: long non-coding RNA, 1024 nt
Organism: Melopsittacus undulatus (budgerigar)
Lineage: Eukaryota; Metazoa; Chordata; Aves; Psittaciformes; Psittaculidae
Exons: 2
Source: RefSeq, a predicted model, not a curated record
UGCCAAACCUGUUGACAAACAGGCUGACUGAGAAGGAGCCGAUCAUACCUCCUACUGAGAAGAUGGCCACAGAAAGGGACCAGAGAGAGACUGAAGUCAUGAGAUGAUUUGGUCAGUGUGUGCAAGUCACAGCCCUUUCAGAAGCACUGAAUCUACACUUAACACAAGGAAUGAAUAAACAAAAUAAGGAAGCCUGAGAUGGUCCCUGAGAUAAACUAAACUAGAACUGUAAUCCCUACCAACCCUCAACUGUUUUCUGCAUGCUCUCUUUACAGUUCUUUCUGUCACGGCUCCUUUGUUCCAACUUAAAACUGAAGCAGCUCACAUUCCUCCACACAUCUAAUAUAGCCCUAGCAGGAAAUGGCAAAUGGAGCCCUCCUGCUCCCUCUGUACUCCUAUAUGAAAGGAUAAACGUUUCUGCUUGCUCUGCCUCCUCCCCAGAACUUUUCCUUUCCUGUUCAUUGUUGUAGUUGAGAAAGUUUUGAACAUCUUUCUGACUUCAUAAACCAGAACAAAUUAUUAGCUGCUUAGGAGGCAACUUCCAUCCUUUCUGCAUCUCCCCUCUCACCUUCUCAGGAGCAUUGAUGACACCAGUGUUGUACCCAAACUGGAGAGAUCCAAUGGCAGCAAUGGUAACUGCAUAGACAAGGGGUACUGUGAUCUUCUGUGGAAAGGGAAGAGAAAAUAAUUAUUUUAUUAAGUUGUGUAAUCAUGCUUUCUACAUUACUUGAGUUUCUCUUCAGCAUGAACACCAGCUGCAGCUCAUAGAUGGCAUGUGAAAGGGCACCAACAGCAAGAAAUGGACUUUAAUCAAGCAAGAGCGGGUACCAGAGACCCUGGAAAGGGAGACACAACUGUAUAGCAGGAAAAAGCUCUGUAACCAGAAGAGUGAGGGCCUGUUAGGACCUCCCUUUCAUCCUUCUGACCUUCAUCAGCUAUUCUCAGCUCAUUAGCAAUGAAUAACACCAGUGGCUGUUAUUUUGGGUUGAUCUGCUUUACUAAAAGCUUUUGCUGAUCUCUGUCA